RNAcentral lists this ribosomal RNA (465 nucleotides) under Vreelandella stevensii. Its description in RNAcentral is "partial 16S ribosomal RNA". It matches the Rfam family "Bacterial small subunit ribosomal RNA", at positions 338 to 795 of the family's 1533-position model. Lineage: Bacteria; Pseudomonadati; Pseudomonadota; Gammaproteobacteria; Oceanospirillales; Halomonadaceae. The record is from RNAcentral.
CCUACGGGCGGCUGCAGUGGGGAAUAUUGGACAAUGGGCGAAAGCCUGAUCCAGCCAUGCCGCGUGUGUGAAGAAGGCCUUCGGGUUGUAAAGCACUUUCAGUGGGGAAGAAAGCCUUGGGGCUAAUACCCUCGAGGAAGGACAUCACCCACAGAAGAAGCACCGGCUAACUCCGUGCCAGCAGCCGCGGUAAUACGGAGGGUGCGAGCGUUAAUCGGAAUUACUGGGCGUAAAGCGCGCGUAGGCGGUCUGAUAAGCCGGUUGUGAAAGCCCCGGGCUCAACCUGGGAACGGCAUCCGGAACUGUCAGGCUAGAGUGCAGGAGAGGAAGGUAGAAUUCCCGGUGCAGCGGUGAAAUGCGUAGAGAUCGGGAGGAAUACCAGUGGCGAAGGCGGCCUUCUGGACUGACACUGACGCUGAGGUGCGAAAGCGUGGGUAGCAAACAGGAUUAGAUACCCGUGUAUUC